Molecule: long non-coding RNA, 491 nt
Filed under: Salmo salar (Atlantic salmon)
Lineage: Eukaryota; Metazoa; Chordata; Actinopteri; Salmoniformes; Salmonidae
Description: lncRNA (ENSSSAG00000086727.1)
Source: RNAcentral
CAGAGAGGAGUCACAGACCAGGUGACCAACAGGUUAAACAUUGAGGAGACAGAGAGGAGUCACAGACCAGGUGACCAACAGGUUAAACAUUGAGGAGACAGAGAGGAGUCACAGACCAGGUGACCAACAGGUUAAACAUUGAGGAGACAGAGAGGAGUCACAGUCCAGACGACCAACAGGUUAAACAUUGAGGAGACAGAGAGGAAUCACAGUCCAGACGACCAACAGGUUAAACAUUGAGGAGACAGAGAGGAGUCACAGUCCAGACGACCAACAGGUUAAACAUUGAAGAGACAGAGAGGAGUCACAGACCAGGCGACCAACAGGUUAAAACAUUGAAGCGACAGAGAGGAGUCACAGUCCAGACGACCAACAGGUUAAACAUUGAGGAGACAGAGAGGAGUCACAGUCCAGACGACCAACAGGUUAAAACAUUGAGGAGACAAAGAGGAGUCACAGACCAGACGACCAACAGGUUAAACAUUGAGGAG